AAGAAAGCUUGCUUUCUUUGCUGGCGACCGGCGCACGGGUGAGUAACACGUAUCCAACCUACCCUUUACUCGGGGAUAGCCUUUCGAAAGAAAGAUUAAUACCCGAUAGCAUAAUGAUUCCGCAUGGUUUCAUUAUUAAAGGAUUCCGGUAAAGGAUGGGGAUGCGUUCCAUUAGGUUGUUGGUGGGGUAACGGCCCACCAAGCCUUCGAUGGACAGGGGUUCCGAGAGGAAGGUCCCCCACAUUGGAACUGAGACACGGUCCAAACUCCUACGGGAGGCAGCAUG
Molecule: ribosomal RNA, 286 nt
Filed under: uncultured bacterium
Lineage: Bacteria
Description: partial 16S ribosomal RNA
Rfam family: Bacterial small subunit ribosomal RNA
Source: RNAcentral